AUACGAAGGUGGCUAGCGUUGUUCGGAAUCACUGGGCGUAAAGCGCGCGUAGGUGGAUCAAUUAGUUGAGGGUGAAAUCCCGGGGCUCAACCUCGGAACUGCCUUCAAUACUGUUGAUCUUGAGACCGAGAGAGGUGAGUGGAAUUCCUAGUGUAGAGGUGAAAUUCGUAGAUAUUAGGAAGAACACCAGUGGCGAAGGCGGCUCACUGGCUCGGUACUGACGCUGAGGUGCGAAAGCGUGGGGAGCAAACAGGAUUAGAUACCCUAGUAGUCC
Molecule: ribosomal RNA, 274 nt
Filed under: uncultured bacterium
Lineage: Bacteria
Description: partial 16S ribosomal RNA
Rfam family: Bacterial small subunit ribosomal RNA
Source: RNAcentral